GACGAACGCUGGCGGCGUGCCUAACACAUGCAAGUUGAGCGACGAACCAGGGCUUGCCCUGGGGCAAAGCAGCGAACGGGUGAGUAACACGUGGGUAACCUACCCCGAUAACCGGGACAACCCGAGGAAACUCGGGCUAAUACCGGAUGUGCUCACUGAACUUCGGUUCAGUGCGUAAAGGAAGCUUCGGCCUCCGUAUCGGGAGGGGCCCGCGGCCCAUUAGCUAGUUGGUGAGGUAACGGCUCACCAAGGCCGCGAUGGGUAGCUGGUCUGAGAGGACGAUCAGCCAGACUGGGACUGAGACACGGCCCAGACUCCUACGGGAGGCAGCAGCGGGGAAUCUUGCGCAAUGCGCGAAAGCGUGACGCAGCAACGCCGCGUGGGGGAAGAAGGCCUUCGGGUUGUAAACCCCUUUCAGGAGGGACGAAGGUUCGGCGGUGAAUAGCCGUCCGGACUGACGGUACCUCCACAAGAAGCCCCGGCUAACUACGUGCCAGCCGCCGCGGUAA
RNAcentral lists this ribosomal RNA (509 nucleotides) under uncultured bacterium. RNAcentral describes it as "partial 16S ribosomal RNA". It matches the Rfam family "Bacterial small subunit ribosomal RNA", at positions 28 to 523 of the family's 1533-position model. The record is from RNAcentral.